AGCGAACGCUGGCGGUAGGCCUAACACAUGCAAGUCGAACGAGUGGCGGACGGGUGAGGAAUACGUCGGAAUCUACUCUGUCGUGGGGGAUAACGUAGGGAAACUUACGCUAAUGCCGCAUACGAUUGAAUGAGCCGAUGUCGGAUUAGCUAGUUGGCGGGGUAAAGGCCCACCAAGGCGACGAUCCGUAGCUGGUCUGAGAGGAUGAUCAGCCACACUGGAACUGAGACACGGUCCAGACUCCUACGGGAGGCAGCAGUGGGGAAUAUUGGACAAUGGGCGCAAGCCUGAUCCAGCCAUACCGCGUGGGUGAAGAAGGCCUUCGGGUUGUAAAGCCCUUUUGUUGGGAAAGCGGUACCCAAAGAAUAAGCACCGGCUAACUUCGUGCCAGCAGCCGCGGUAAUACGAAGGGUGCAAGCGUUACUCGGAAUUACUGGGCGUAAAGCGUGCGUAGGUGGUCGUUUAAGUCCGUUGUGAAAGCCCUGGGCUCAACCUGGGAACUGCAGUGGAUACUGGGCGACUAGAUGUGGUAGAGGGUAGCGGAAUUCCUGGUGUAGCAGUGAAAUGCGUAGAGAUC
This 577-nucleotide ribosomal RNA is filed under the name uncultured bacterium. RNAcentral's name for it is "bacterial SSU rRNA". It matches the Rfam family "Bacterial small subunit ribosomal RNA", at positions 28 to 698 of the family's 1533-position model. The record is from RNAcentral.